RNAcentral lists this ribosomal RNA (745 nucleotides) under uncultured Pseudomonadota bacterium. Its description in RNAcentral is "bacterial SSU rRNA". It matches the Rfam family "Bacterial small subunit ribosomal RNA", at positions 60 to 783 of the family's 1533-position model. Lineage: Bacteria; Pseudomonadati; Pseudomonadota. The record is from RNAcentral.
AGUCGAACGCGAAAGGGGGCAACCCCCGGUAGCGUGGCAGACGGGUGAGUAACACGUGGGUAACCUACCCGGAGGUGGGGGAUAACCCUUCGAAAGGAGGGCUAAUACCGCAUGAUACCGCGAGGAUUUCGAUCCUUGCGAUCAAAGCUGGCCUCUGUUUACAAGCUAGCGCCACCGGAUGGGCCCGCGCCCCAUUAGCUAGUUGGUGAGGUAACGGCUCACCAAGGCGACGAUGGGUAGCCGGCCUGAGAGGGCGAUCGGCCACACUGGAACUGCGACACGGUCCAGACUCCUACGGGAGGCAGCAGUGAGGAAUAUUGCGCAAUGGGCGAAAGCCUGACGCAGCGACGCCGCGUGGAGGAUGAAGGUCUUCGGAUUGUAAACUCCUGUCGAGUGGGACGAAUGCCGUGAGGGUGAACAAUCCUUGCGGUUGACGGUACCGCUGGAGGAAGCCCCGGCUAACUCCGUGCCAGCAGCCGCGGUAAUACGGAGGGGGCUAGCGUUGUUCGGAAUCAUUGGGCGUAAAGGGCGCGUAGGCGGCCGAUCAAGUCGGAGGUGAAAUCCCUCGGCUCAACUGAGGAAUUGCCUUCGAUACUGUUCGGCUUGAGUCCUGGAGAGGGUAGCGGAAUUCCCGGUGUAGCGGUGAAAUGCGUAGAGACCGGGAAGAACACCAGUGGCGAAGGCGGCUACCUGGACAGGUACUGACGCUGAAGCGCGAAAGCUAGGGGAGCAAACAGGAUUAGAU